UGGGGAAUANUGNNCAAUGGGGGGAACCCUGACGCAGCCAUGCCGCGUGAAUGAAGAAGGCCUUAGGGUUGUAAAGUUCUUUCGGUAUUGAGGAAGGUUGAUGUGUUAAUAGCACAUCAAAUUGACGUUAAAUACAGAAGAAGCACCGGCUAACUCCGUGCCAGCAGCCGCGGUAAUACGGAGGGUGCGAGCGUUAAUCGGAAUAACUGGGCGUAAAGGGCACGCAGGCGGUUAUUUAAGUGAGGUGUGAAAGCCCCGGGCUUAACCUGGGAAUUGCAUUUCAGACUGGGUAACUAGAGUACUUUAGGGAGGGGUAGAAUUCCACGUGUAGCGGUGAAAUGCGUAGAGAUGUGGAGGAAUACCGAAGGCGAAGGCAGCCCCUUGGGAAUGUACUGACGCUCAUGUGCGAAAGCGUGGGGAGCAAACAGGAUUAGAUACCCUGGUAGUCCACGCUGUAAACGCUGUCGAUUUGGGGGUUGGGGUUUAACUCUGGCGCCCGUAGCUAACGUGAUAAAUCGACCGCCUGGGGAGUACGGCCGCAAGGUUA
Molecule: ribosomal RNA, 547 nt
Filed under: uncultured bacterium
Lineage: Bacteria
Description: bacterial SSU rRNA
Rfam family: Bacterial small subunit ribosomal RNA
Source: RNAcentral